This 253-nucleotide ribosomal RNA is filed under the name uncultured bacterium. RNAcentral's name for it is "partial 16S ribosomal RNA". It matches the Rfam family "Bacterial small subunit ribosomal RNA", at positions 524 to 776 of the family's 1533-position model. The record is from RNAcentral.
GACGGAAGGUGCAAGCGUUGCUCGGAAUCACUGGGCGUAAAGGGUGCGUAGGCGGCUUGGUGGGUCUGGUGUAAAAGCCCCGGGCUCAGCCCGGGAAGGGCACUAGAAACUGCCGAGCUGGAGUGCCGGAGGGGAGAGUGGAAUUCCUGGUGUAGCGGUGAAAUGCGCAGAUAUCAGGAAGAACACCUAUGGCGAAGGCAGCUCUCUGGGACGGUACUGACGCUGAGACGCGAAAGCGUGGGGAGCGAACAGG